CCUACGGGACGCAGCAGUGAGGAAUAUUGGUCAAUGGGCGAGAGCCUGAACCAGCCAAGUCGCGUGAAGGAUGACGGCCCUACGGGUUGUAAACUUCUUUUGUCAGGGAGCAAUUGAGUCCACGUGUGGGCUUAGCGAGAGUACCUGAAGAAAAAGCAUCGGCUAACUCCGUGCCAGCAGCCGCGGUAAUACGGAGGAUGCGAGCGUUAUCCGGAUUUACUGGGUGUAAAGGGAGCGUAGACGGCAGCGCAAGUCUGGAGUGAAAUCCCAUGGCUUAACCAUGGAACUGCUUUGGACACUGUGCG
Molecule: ribosomal RNA, 305 nt
Filed under: uncultured bacterium
Lineage: Bacteria
Description: bacterial SSU rRNA
Rfam family: Bacterial small subunit ribosomal RNA
Source: RNAcentral